GCCGAGGUGGCUCAGUGGUAGAGCACCUCCUUGGUAAGGAGGUGGUCACGGGUUCGAUUCCCGUCCUCGGCU
This is a transfer RNA of 72 nucleotides. It matches the Rfam family "tRNA". Rfam says of the family: Transfer RNA (tRNA) molecules are approximately 80 nucleotides in length. Their secondary structure includes four short double-helical elements and three loops (D, anti-codon, and T loops). The record is from Rfam.